CUGCUCAUUUCAGCAGCACAUAUUCUAAAAUUGGCAUGAAACAGAGAAGAUUGGCAUGGCACUUGCACAAGGAAGACAUGCAAAUUCAUGAAGCAUUAUGUUUUG
Molecule: small nuclear RNA, 105 nt
Filed under: Carlito syrichta (Philippine tarsier)
Lineage: Eukaryota; Metazoa; Chordata; Mammalia; Primates; Tarsiidae
Source: RNAcentral